This 793-nucleotide ribosomal RNA is filed under the name uncultured crenarchaeote. RNAcentral describes it as "bacterial SSU rRNA". It matches the Rfam family "Archaeal small subunit ribosomal RNA", at positions 85 to 879 of the family's 1478-position model. Lineage: Archaea; Thermoproteati; Thermoproteota. The record is from RNAcentral.
ACGGCUCAGUAACGCGUAGUCAAUCUACCCUGUUGACGGGGAUAACCUCGGGAAACUGAGAAUAAUACCCGAUAGAACAUUAUGCCUGGAAUGGUUUAUGUUUCAAAUGAUUUAUCGCAAUAGGAUGGGACUGCGGCCUAUCAGUUUGUUGGUGAGGUAAUGGCCCACCAAGACUAUUACAGGUACGGGCUCUGAGAGGAGUGGCCCGGAGAUGGGUACUGAGACACGGACCCAGGCCCUAUGGGGCGCAGCAGGCGAGAAAACUUUGCAAUGUGCGAAAGCACGACAAGGUUAAUCCGAGUGGUUUCUGCUAAAGAAACCUUUUGUCAGUCCUAGAAACACUGAUGAAUAAGGGGUGGGCAAGUUCUGGUGUCAGCCGCCGCGGUAAAACCAGCACCUCAAGUGGUCAGGAUGAUUAUUGGGCCUAAAGCAUCCGUAGCUUGUUUUGUAAGUUUUCGGUUAAAUCCAUACGCUUAACGUAUGGGCUGCCGGGAAUACUGCAUAACUAGGAAGUGGGAGAGGUAGACGGUACUCGGUAGGAAGGGGUAAAAUCCUUUGAUCUAUUGAUGACCACCUGUGGCGAAGGCGGUCUACCAGAACACGUUCGACGGUGAGGGAUGAAAGCUGGGGGAGCAAACCGGAUUAGAUACCCGGGUAGUCCCAGCUGUAAACUAUGCAAACUCAGUGAUGCAUUGGCUUGUGGCCAAUGCAGUGCUGCAGGGAAGCCGUUAAGUUUGCCGCCUGGGAAGUACGUACGCAAGUAUGAAACUUAAAGGAAUUGGCGGGGGAGCAC